CAAAAUNUAGCUUAAACAAAGCAUCCCGCUUACACCGGGAAGAUGUCUGUGUAACCCGGAUUAUUUNGNGCCUAAAAUCUAGCCUAUUAAUACCCUAUAC
This 100-nucleotide transfer RNA is filed under the name Chiromantis xerampelina (African gray treefrog). RNAcentral's name for it is "tRNA-Val". The stretch from base 1 to 69 matches the Rfam family "tRNA". From Rfam's summary of the family: Transfer RNA (tRNA) molecules are approximately 80 nucleotides in length. Their secondary structure includes four short double-helical elements and three loops (D, anti-codon, and T loops). Lineage: Eukaryota; Metazoa; Chordata; Amphibia; Anura; Rhacophoridae. The record is from RNAcentral.